Long non-coding RNA from Suricata suricatta (meerkat), 1834 nucleotides. RefSeq lists it as uncharacterized. NCBI's taxonomy places the organism in Eukaryota, Metazoa, Chordata, Mammalia, Carnivora, Herpestidae. The transcript has 2 exons. The record is from RefSeq and is a predicted model, not a curated record.
CAGUGGAGGCUACAUGGACAGCAGGAAGUCCCAUCCCCACCCGACAGGCUCCAACAGAGGUCAAGUAGGGGACUUGGGGUACUUCUACCUGGCAGGAUCCAGCAUCAGAUACAUGGUACCUAAGAUGUCUGUGUUUCAUGUGAAUGUGACUUAUCAUACCAAGAACCAGGGAGAUGUCAAAAUGAAUGUAAAAAAAUCAACUGAUGCCAACACCAAGACGACAGAGAUGGUGUAUCACCUGCUAAAGAUGUUAAAGCAGCCAUAAUAAAAAUGCUCCAACAUGCAGUUAGGAAAAUGCUUAAAACAAAUGAAAAAUAAAAGAAGAAAGCCUCACAAAAGAAAUAGAAGAUACAAAGAAGAGCUGGUUACAGAUGUUAGAACUCAAAAAUAUAAUAACGAACAAAAACUUAGUGCAUGAACUCAAGAGCAGGAUGGAAGGAACAAGAAACAGUUUGUAAAUAGGAAAACAGAACAGUAGCAAUGAUGGAGUCUGAAUAUCAGAGGCAAGUAGAUUGAGGGAAAAACUAACAGUCUCAGGGACCUGUGGGAAGAAAAGAAGAUAUAACAUGCACGUCUUCAGAGUCCUAGAAGGAGAGGAGAAAGAGAAUAGGGUUGAAAAAGCACUGAAAGAAAUAAAGGCUGAAAACUUCCCAAAUUUGGUGAGAGACAUAAACCUACAGAUUCAAGAAGCUGCACAAAUUCUAAAUAUGAUAAAUACAAAAAAAAUCCAGCCCGAGAUAGAUUAUAAGUAAACUUCAAACUGAAGGCAAAGCAAAGAUCUCAAAAGCAGCCACAGAUAAAUGAUACUUUACCUAUAGGGGAAAAUCAGUUGGAAUGACAGUGGGCUGGAAUGACAGUGGACUUCUUACCCGGAAACCACGGAGGCCAGAAGUGGCAUAAUAUUUUUCAAGUGUUGAAAGAACCAUCCACCCAGUGAAAAUAUCUUUCAGGAAUGAAGAAAUCAAGACAUUCUCAAAUGGAAGGAACUAAGAGAAUUUGUCAUUAUCAGAACUACCCUACAAGAAUGGCUAAUGGAAGUUUCAGGAAUGAAAAGAAAAUGAUAAAAGAAGGAAUCUUGGGGCAUCAGGGAAAAAGAAAACAUGGCGCCUCUCCAAGGCACAUGCGGCCUGCGUCUGGGCAAUAAACGUCUGACUUUACAAAUUCAAAUAUGAACCCAAACAAACAAUGCCAAUUUGGCCCUAGUGCCCCCUUGACUCAAUUGUUGGAGUAACAAAAGAUAAGCUUCACUACCAAUUAACCUCCUAAACACUAAUUAAAGAUAAUGAGGGAUCAAGGUGCCUGGCUAGCCUGACCUCUGUGUUCCCCCCCAGAGUUCACAGGAGUCUGAUGGCCCAUGUAAGACUCGCCGAGAGGAAAAGGAUAAAGUGGAUGCAGGUGCUGCAUUGUACGGUCUCCCUGGGAAAACGCACGGCCCGAUUGGUGGGGAAUACAAUAAACUCUCUUUAUGAGAAUUACAUAGAGGAAAACGUGCAGAUCUCAGCCUAGGGUAUUUGUUUAUAGGGCUUCAGACCAUGAGUGAGUCACUUAAAGUUCGGCCCAGCCCAUGGAGAGACUUAGAGGCCUUCAACAAAUUAUCUUCCAAACUGUAACACUUGAUUCAUGGUUCUGAGCUGCUUCCAGUCCAUUCUGGAACAAGGUGGGGUGUGUGCAAAGAAGACGCUGCGAAGGGGUGAACGAACCCGUGAUCGUCAGUGCUCCGGAGUCCAGCCACGUCCUCUAUUUUUCUUCAACCUCCUCCCACACGGAGCAACAUAAUAUUGUCAAGUCCUAGCUAGACUUAGACAAACCUCCCGAAUAAAGUAAUUUGUGUGCA